GACGAACGCUGGCGGCGUGCUUAACACAUGCAAGUCGAGCGAUGAAGCUUCUUCGCAAGUGGAUUAGCGGCGGACGGGUGAGUAACACGUGGGCAACCUGCCUUGUAGCGGGGGAUAGCCUUCCGAAAGGAAGAGUAAUACCGCAUAACAUCGCGAACUCGCCUGGCUUUGCUAUCAAAGAUUUAUCGCCACAAGAUGGGCCCGCGUCGCAUUAGCUAGUUGGUGAGGUAACGGCUCACCAAGGCCACGAUGCGUAGCCGACCUGGGAGGGUGAUCGGCCACAUUGGAACUAAGACACGGUCCAGACUCCUACGGGAGGCAGCAGUGGGGAAUAUUGCACAAUGGGCGAAAGCCUGAUGCAGCAACGCCGCGUGAGUGAUGAAGGUCUUCGGAUUGUAAAGCUCUUUGAUUAGGGACGAUAAUGACGGUACCUAAAGAACAAGCCACGGCUAACUACGUGCCAGCCGCCGCCGUAA
This 476-nucleotide ribosomal RNA is filed under the name uncultured bacterium. Its description in RNAcentral is "partial 16S ribosomal RNA". It matches the Rfam family "Bacterial small subunit ribosomal RNA", at positions 28 to 523 of the family's 1533-position model. The record is from RNAcentral.